UCCACCACCUCCUAGUCCACCACCCCCACCACCUUGCCAACCUAAGGAGAUGAUGACUUCCAGGCGGCGGCGGCGGCUCCCAACUCGGGUCAAACCGCCCCGCCGGCCGUGGACUAGGAUAAUGACUAAGUACCAGCCGGUGACUAGGUCACAGGCUAAAGAGAAGGGGGGCCCAAGGCCUUAUUUUUAAAUCCUCUCUCUCUGAGGCUCUUGACAAAAUCAGGAGUAUUGGUAAUAGUGACAAAAACAGAUCUGGUAACCAACUUGGGAACAAUUGCAAAGUGUAGUGCCAAAGCAUUUAUGGAAGCAGUGCAGGCUGGUGCUGAUAUCUCUAUGAUUGGACAGU
Stegodyphus dumicola is the source of this 346-nucleotide long non-coding RNA. Lineage: Eukaryota; Metazoa; Arthropoda; Arachnida; Araneae; Eresidae. The record is from RefSeq and is a predicted model, not a curated record.